RNAcentral lists this ribosomal RNA (436 nucleotides) under uncultured bacterium. RNAcentral describes it as "partial 16S ribosomal RNA". It matches the Rfam family "Bacterial small subunit ribosomal RNA", at positions 341 to 792 of the family's 1533-position model. The record is from RNAcentral.
ACGGGAGGCAGCAGUGGGGAAUAUUGGGCAAUGGGGGAAACCCUGACCCAGCAACGCCGCGUGGAGGAAGAAGGUCUUCGGAUCGUAAACUCCUGUCCUCAAAGACGAGAAGAAGACGGUAUUUGAGGAGGAAGCCCCGGCUAACUACGUGCCAGCAGCCGCGGUAAUACGUAGGGGGCAAGCGUUGUCCGGAAUGAUUGGGCGUAAAGGGCGCGUAGGCGGCCUGUUAAGUCUGGAGUGAAAGUCCUGCUUUUAAGGUGGGAAUUGCUUUGGAUACUGAUGGGCUUGAGUGCAGGAGAGGUAAGUGGAAUUCCCAGUGUAGCGGUGAAAUGCGUAGAUAUCGGGAGGAACACCAGUGGCGAAGGCGGCUUACUGGGCUUUUACUGACGCUGAGGCCCGAAAGCAUGGGUAGCAAACAGGAUUAGAUACCCUGGUA